Homo sapiens (human) is the source of this 1245-nucleotide long non-coding RNA. Ensembl annotates it as DXZ4 associated non-coding transcript 2, distal. Its record names the gene DANT2. Lineage: Eukaryota; Metazoa; Chordata; Mammalia; Primates; Hominidae. The record is from Ensembl.
CCACCCCCUCUGGGGAACAGGAGACACAGAAGAUGGAGGGAGGGAUGGCAGCCUACCCUGUGGCAACGCGGGAGUCGCGUUGCCGCAGGGGGCGCAUUGGGGUCCAGCCGUCCCCAGAACGCAGAUCAGAGGUAGUCGGACCUUUCCCGCUGGCGCGCAGCCUCAGCUAGGCCCACAUUGAUGGGAAUUCCCGGAGAGUCAAAGAAGCCCAAUCACAUAGAGACAGAGCAAGAGAGGAAGCGGGCUCCAGUAGAAGUGGGGCACACAGAGUGAACAGAAAAAGAGGAUACCUCUGCGAUCCCGGGUCAUCUCCAGAUGCUAGGGUUAUGGUCCUAGGUCUCUCGACUCUUCAGGAUGAUGUCCUACACAACAUCAACAACCAGUGGGUACCCUGUGCCCUAGGGAGAAGACUGACAGAAUGGCAUCCUGUGGCACCCUUGACCCAGCCUUUCUUUGAGGGGAGCAAGAGGAAACCAGACAAUACUUGAAAUGCAAUGCACCUGGGUUACCAUUUCUUGUCUCAGUGCAGUACCCAAUAAUCAGGAAAUUCUCUCUCCUCUUUACAAGAGAUAACGCCUGAUAAUGUGGCCACUACCACCGCCCCGUUAUUUGGCUAGGCCUGGGUCCUCCAGAUGAGACAUUAGUUCUCAGGUUUUACAUAGCCCCAAGACCUCCAGGGCAAGGAUCCCUCUCUUCCCCUAACCUUGUUUCUGCACUAAGAGCAAAGAUCCAUAGUCUCAAUGCCCUGCAGUAGCUUCAGCUCCCAGUUUCCAAACAUGGCGGCCAACAAGGCCUGACCUCCACCACCUCUGGGACCUGACAGGCCUUGCAGCCCAGGGCUCCUUGGUGGAUGAGCCUGGUUCCCUCGCUUUCACACCAACUCUGAAGGCACCCACUCAGGUGCCCAUGUCCACCUCCAGAAUUCUCUGAGUGUUCCAUACCUACCCUGUUACCUAACAUACCUACCCUGUUACCUAACAGAAGUAUGAAUAUACAGAGAGGGGCCAGAAGCCAUACUCAAAAAGCUUCUGCUUGAUGGCCCUUUUGCUCCAGUAAUGCCAACCACUCUGGCCUGCCAGACCUUUCCCCUUGCCUUUUGUCCUAAUCCAAAGGGAGUCCCAAAACCAGUCCAAGACCUUGAAGUGGGAUUUACUCUGCUUGGGUUCUCGGGGUGAACUGGUAUCCCUUUCUGUCAUGCUCUCAGUGGGAAAUAUAAAUGUCUAUGAAAUAAUUCAUCAAAACGAA